This 564-nucleotide ribosomal RNA is filed under the name uncultured bacterium. RNAcentral's name for it is "bacterial SSU rRNA". It matches the Rfam family "Bacterial small subunit ribosomal RNA", at positions 338 to 917 of the family's 1533-position model. The record is from RNAcentral.
CCUACGGGAGGCAGCAGUGGGGAAUCUUGCGCAAUGGGCGAAAGCCUGACGCAGCAACGCCGCGUGCGGGAAGAAGGCUUUCGGGCUGUAAACCGCUUUCAGCAGGAACGAAAAUGACGGUACCUGCAGAAGAAGGAGCGGCCAACUAUGUGCCAGCAGCCGCGGUGAUACAUAGGCUUCAAGCGUUGUCCGGAUUUAUUGGGCAUAAAGAGUUCGUAGGCGGUCGAGUAAGUCGGGUGUGAAAAUUCUGGGCUCAACCCAGAGACGCCACCCGAUACUGCUUAACUUGAGUUCGAUAGGGGAGUGGGGAAUUCCUAGUGUAGCGGUGAAAUGCGCAGAUAUUAGGAGGAACACCGGUGGCGAAGGCGCCACUCUGGAUCGAUACUGACGCUGAGGAACGAAAGCAUGGGUAGCAAACAGGAUUAGAUACCCUGGUAGUCCAUGCCGUAAACGGUGGGCACUAGGUGUGGGAUUCUAUUAACGAAUUCCGCGCCGUCGCUAACGCAUUAAGUGCCCGCCUGGGGAGUACGGUCGCAAGGCUAAAACGUCAAAGGAAUUGAACGG